GAGGGUAUAGCUCAGUGCUAGAUUGCAUGCUUAGCAUGCACGAGGUCAUGGGUUCAAUCCCCAGUACCUCCA
Transfer RNA from Camelus ferus (Wild Bactrian camel), 72 nucleotides. It matches the Rfam family "tRNA". From Rfam's summary of the family: Transfer RNA (tRNA) molecules are approximately 80 nucleotides in length. Their secondary structure includes four short double-helical elements and three loops (D, anti-codon, and T loops). Lineage: Eukaryota; Metazoa; Chordata; Mammalia; Artiodactyla; Camelidae. The record is from Rfam.